GGCGUGUACUGCUUGGCUGGGCCUUACUUCUUGGUGAGCCGGCGUGCCCUUUAUUGGUGUGCGUUGGGGAACCAGGACUUUUACCUUGAGAAAAUUAGAGUGUUCAAAGCAGGCCUAUGCCUGAAUACAUUAGCAUGGAAUAAUAGAAUAGGACGUGCGGUUCUAUUUUGUUGGUUUCUAGAGUCACUGUAGUGAUUAAUAGGGACAGUUGGGGGCAUUGGUAUUGAGUCGCUAGAGGUGAAAUUCUUGGAUUGACUCAAGACCGACUAUUGCGAAAGCAUUUGCCAAGGAUGUUUUCAUUAAUCAAGAACGAAGGUUAGGGGAUCGAAAACGAUCAGAUACCGUUGUAGUCUUAACAGUAAACUAUGCCGACUAGGGAUUGGAUGACCUCAAAAUUGAUGUGUCAUUUGGCACCUUACGAGAAAUCAAAGUCUUUGGGUUCUGGGGGGAGUAUGGUUGCAAGGCUGAAACUUAAAGGAAUUGACAGAAGGGCACCACCAGGUGUGGAGCCUGCGGCUUAAUUUGACUCAACACGGGGAAACUCACCAGGUCCAGACAUAACUAGGAUUGACAGAUUGAUAGCUCUUUCAUGAUUUUAUGGGUGGUGGUGCAUGGCCAUUCUUAGUUGGUAGAGUGAUUUGUCUGGUUAAUUCCGAUAACGAACGAGACCUUAACCUGCUAAAUAGCCAGGCCGGCUUCAGCUGGUCUCUGGCUUCUUAGAGGGACUGUCAG
Molecule: ribosomal RNA, 732 nt
Filed under: uncultured eukaryote
Lineage: Eukaryota
Description: SSU rRNA
Rfam family: Eukaryotic small subunit ribosomal RNA
Source: RNAcentral